GAUUUGAGACCAAUAAUUGAAAAGGAAGAUAUGAAAUUAUGCUCCAAUCAAUCUUGACUGUUUACUGGACAACAAUAUUAGAUACUGGCCAAGUCUCUAGCGAACAGGCAUGCAGCCUGGCCUUCAUGAAUACGGACUGUGGUACCAACAAGACCCCGGAAGACUACCUCUGUAUCAACUUGCCCCUCUACUUUCUGGGAAGAGAAAUGUGGCAGCCAU
RNAcentral lists this long non-coding RNA (219 nucleotides) under Ictidomys tridecemlineatus (thirteen-lined ground squirrel). RNAcentral describes it as "lncRNA (ENSSTOG00000032621.1)". Lineage: Eukaryota; Metazoa; Chordata; Mammalia; Rodentia; Sciuridae. The record is from RNAcentral.